AUUUUAAAACGUGCGGAUGUCUGC
Molecule: microRNA, 24 nt
Filed under: Citrus sinensis (sweet orange)
Lineage: Eukaryota; Viridiplantae; Streptophyta; Magnoliopsida; Sapindales; Rutaceae
Description: csi-miR12108-3p
Source: miRBase by way of RNAcentral